This 468-nucleotide ribosomal RNA is filed under the name uncultured bacterium. RNAcentral's name for it is "partial 16S ribosomal RNA". It matches the Rfam family "Bacterial small subunit ribosomal RNA", at positions 28 to 507 of the family's 1533-position model. The record is from RNAcentral.
GACGAACGCUGGCGGCGUGCUUAACACAUGCAAGUCGAACGGAAAGGCCCUGCUUUUGUUGGUUGCUCGAGUGGCGAACAGGUGAGUAACACGUGAGUAACCUGCCCUUGACUUUGGGAUAACUUCAGGAAACUGGGGCUAAUAUCGGAUAGGAGCUCCUGCUGCAUGGUGGGGGUUGGAAAGUUUCGGCGGUUGUGGAUGUACUCGCGGGUUAUCAGCUUGUUUGUGGGGUAGUGGCUGACCAAGGCUUUGACGGGUAGCCGGCCUGGGAGGGUGACCGGCGUCAUUGGGACUGAGAUACGGCCCAGAAUGCAACCGGAGGCAGCAGUGGGGAAUUUUGCGCAAUGGGCGGAAGCCUGAUGCAGAAACGCCGCGUGCGGGAUGACGGCCUUCGGGUUGUAAACCGCUUUCGCCUGUGACGAAGCGUGAGUGACGGUAAUGGGUAAAGAAGCAACGGCUAACUACGUG